UACGAAGGGGGCUAGCGUUGCUCGGAAUCACUGGGCGUAAAGCGCACGUAGGCGGCUUCUUAAGUCAGGGGUGAAAUCCUGGAGCUCAACUCCAGAACUGCCUUUGAUACUGGGGAGCUUGAGUCCGGGAGAGGUGAGUGGAGCUGCGAGUGUAGAGGUGAAAUUCGUAGAUAUUCGCAAGAACACCAGUGGCGAAGGCGGCUCACUGGCCCGGUACUGACGCUGAGGUGCGAAAGCGUGGGGAGCAAACAGG
This 253-nucleotide ribosomal RNA is filed under the name uncultured bacterium. RNAcentral's name for it is "partial 16S ribosomal RNA". It matches the Rfam family "Bacterial small subunit ribosomal RNA", at positions 524 to 776 of the family's 1533-position model. The record is from RNAcentral.